CCGAUCCUUAGUAAGGGAUUUUGGUAACCGCUUUUAAAGGGGUUUUUCGAACACGUGUAAGCACAGAAAAUUUUCUAUUUUUUUUCUCUUUUCUCUCUUUUCUUUUCUCUCUGUUCUUUCUUUCUCGACUUCUCUUUUGGCGAUUGAAAGUUGAAACCGUCCUCACGGCAUCUCCUCCGGCUUCUCUGGUCUCCUCCGGCUUCUCUGAUCUCUUCACGGCGUCUCUUUUUCUCCAUUGAGAAUCACAGAAGAGAUUGAGAUGUCAACACCAGCAAGGAAGAGACUUGUGAGGGAUUCCAGGAGGUUGCUGCAAGAUCCUCCUGCUGGUAUCAGUGGUGCUCCUCUAACAACAACAUCUUGCUCUGGAACGCUGUCAUCUUCGGCCCAGAUGAUACGCCUAGGGAUGGAGUUGAACAGAACUUACAGAACCAAUGGAGUCCCAUCUAUGUAUCUCUUUCUUUGUCGACAAAGCCGUUGCUAUCAUGUUGGAUAUGAAGGUUGAUAUCAUAUAAGAUGUUCAACAGAAGUCACAAGGCGUUCAUUCAAAUCAAAAGAAGUCACGAGAUUUGUUGUAUAUAUUUGUUGUAUAUGCAAUUCACGAGUAUUGUCUGUAUGUUAGAUACAUGUUGGUUUUGGUUCUUCUCUCCUUCUCUAUAUAAAGUUGUGAUUCACCAAGCAUUUUAUUCACACAGUCUCAUUAUCUCCUUCUCACCAAACAACUUUCAUUCUUUCUUCUCACCAAACAAGUUUCAUUAUCUCUCUUUGAUCACAAAUAUUAUUCACAAAUGUUUUUUUCAGAUUAUUUUCGAUUAUUGUACUAAUCUUUAUUUUUAUGUUGUUUUUCAAAUCUAUGUUUUAAUGUUAUCUUUUAAUAUGUUUUAUUUAAUAAAUAAAUUUUAUCUUUUAAAAAAAUUAAUAAUUUUUUUCUAAGAACCUUUAACUAAGAAACUCCCAUUGGACCAUUCAAAAUAGAAGUUUCUUAACUUAAAUUCUUAGGUUAAUUUUAUUAAUUAAAAAUUAUUAAGAAACCCAUAAGAGGUGAUAGGGAUAAUCAUGCUCUAAGGAUAUAGGAGAGGUUUUUGAGAGUACUCUUAUAUUAUUCUAAGAGGGAAGAACAAAGCACACACAUUUGCUGUUUGAAGACGUUGGGAUCUGUGUUCUUAUCGAGAAAGACAUUUCUUUAAUUUAUUCACUUCUUUUCAAAAAAUAAUUUAUUUUGGGUUUUAGCCCUACAAAUCCCCACCUUCCACAUAUUAUAUGUUUUUUUGUAAAGCAUCUAUAUACAUUUCAAAGCUAAUACAUUGUUAUGGGUUAUGGCUUGACUAAUGGAUAUGAGUCAUAUGAGAUAUCAGUUCCAAUACAGCUAUCAGUAAAACACACAGAACACUUGUAGGGAGUAUCAUAUUAAAUUUUCCAAAAUAUAUCAAAAUACAUUUUAAAGUUUAUAACUUUUUUUUGUUAGGACAUUCAAACGCACUCUCGAAACAUUUUAUAAAUUGUAUUCCAUUAGGCUUUAACAUUUUUUAUAACUCAUUUCGAAACACACAAAAAGUUAAAUAUUGAAAUGAAUCGUUUUACUUAUGGUGAACAUACAUAAUACAUAUCAUUUUUUUAUCAAAACAUAAUACAUAUCAUAUUAUUUAUUUUUUGAACAUUACAUAUUAUAUUAUUGGGAAAAAGAAAUACGAAUACAAACCUAUAAACAGACAAAAGGUUAAAGAAAAGUCCAAAAUUUCUCUUCAGCGACCGUAGAAAUUACGACGAAAAUUUUGGUCACGGCUCUAAAUGACCCGACAUAUAUAACUCUGGAUCAUUUGAGCUGCAUCUUUUUAUAUCGUUAUCUUCCAAAAUCCUCAAACCAAGUGGGUCGCUACUCGUAUUUAUAUUUGAUUUUGUAAAACAUGAGACAAUAAUAUGUGUACACAAUGCUGUCUCUAUAUAUGUGACAUGUUUGUAUAUUCAGCAACAAAUUAUAUUAAGAGUUUAAUAACAUGUUGAGUUUUUUUUUUUUUUUGAUCAAAUAACAUGUUGAGUUAAGGAGAUUUUUUUGGAAAAGGACGAACUAGAUCCCAAUGCACGAAACGAAUAAAUUGUUUUCCAAUAAUAUGUAACUAGAAAGAAAUCAGUUGGUUAGAACUUAGAACAUUUUUCAUAGAUUAUAAUUUUUGGAAAACUAAGUUAUAUACGUACGUAAUGUGCAUGUGUGUGUGUAUACAUGUUACGAGUUUGAUUUUUAGGUGUACAGUGAGAACUCUAACUAGAUCUCUAUAAAGUCUUACGUACAGUAAACCUCAAACAUACGUAGGCCCUAUGAUCUCUGCCACGACCAGCUGUAACGUAGGAUAAGACACCUAUACGGCGCCGUUUUGCUGAAGAACCACCCAUCCAUCUUUAAUCACUUUGACUUAUUAUGCAUCAGAGCUUUCCAAUUUUAAAAUGGAAAUAGUUUAGUCAAUAUUGAUCAAUAUUUUGUGUUGCCGUCGGAAUAUACAAAAAAUAGUAGCCAAAUUUUUGAACAAAACAUAAAUUUGUGUAUGGAAUCGUUUUAGACGUUUUUUUUUUAAUCGUUUUAGACGUUGGUAUAUAUUUGGUUUCGUUUUUCCAUUCUUAAUUUCUUAUUGUAACUAACGCAUUUUUUGUCUUUUAAUUCCGAUUAUCUUUAUCAUCUUUCAUUAAACCUAAACUAUAAGUCUAUAACUAAGUUCGGUCACUGUACUAAUUUCAUAACUCUGCUUAUAUCGAAGCAGUUUGGUUUAUCAUUGUUAAACCUUAUAUUUUUAUACUUUUACAUUACUUUAUUAAUCUUUCAUAAGAGUAUUUCCCAGUAAUCUAAAAUUUUAAGAAAGAAAAAAAAAUUAUGCUUAUACCUUACCACUAGAAGUCUAGAAACAUUUUCUUUCUGUUGGAUAAUUUUCCUUUAAACGUAUUGUCGUCGGUCAAAUACCUGCAGCAUGCAGCAGAGGGAAUUCAAAUGAGAAUUAUAUACAACAAUUAUUAUUUCUCGACUUAGAACCGCCAUUUUUAAUGACAUAAGAGCAAACCCUAAUGGGGUUUUUCAACCAAAGGUUUUAAAAAUACAUAUAUAUGUAUUUUAAAAAGCUCAUGCUAAUAAAUCCCCAUUGGGUUUGCUCUAGCAGUCUUGAUCGAUACAGAUUUUUGUUUAUUAAAAUAAAAUAUUUGGUUAACUGAUAUUUUUUACGUUAAGACAUGUAAUAAUUUACCCCUAUCAGAUUUUAUUUAUUUAAAUGUUCUCAGUUUCUUCUGUGUUAAAAAGAUUUCUCUGAUUAAACACUUUUGAUCAAAGUUAAUAUUUGCCUAAUGAUGGAUUAAGCGGUGGUAACCUUUAAUGGACAAAAACUUUUAUUUUAAUGAUUAAAGCAUUAAAAUUAAUUAUCUUUUAAAUGAAUAUAUUAAAGGGACAAAUAAACUUUAUAUUACAUACGAUCAACUAUAAAUAUGAAUCAACUAAAAAUGAAAUCAACAUAACCUUAGAAUAAGAUAAGAGAUAUCAGGUAAAGUUAAGGAAGAAUAAUUAUUGAUAAGAUGUUUACCAAACAAUAGUAUCAUUAAAUAAUAGAACCGGAAAAGCAAUAAUUUGAGAUUACAAAAGAAAUUACGUAAGAUAAUUUUUUUUUUUUGCAUGAAAGUGAUUACAAGAGACAGAUUUUCUAGUGUGGAUGAUUUUGUUGGAAGGAAAAAAGGUAGUGGGAGCAGUUGUUUUGGAGGGAAAUCAUAUGCACGUAGAGGUCCCUCGUUCCUUCCUUUGGUUUUGGUAAUGAUUAACAAUUCCACCAAACAUCAAAAUUAAUAGUGGCUUUAUAUCCAAUUAGUUUUAGUUUUAUUGGGUCCGACUGGUAUUUUUAUGUCUUUUUCAUGAUACUUGUCUUUAUUUUUCCUUGAAUCGUAAAUGAAUUUCGAAAGUUAUAAUCAAGCCACAGAUAGCUGACAAAGAAAUAAUCAAACGACGAGAUAAACAAAAUGUCAACAUCCUCCCAAUUCGCGACUGAGAAGGCAAACGGAAAACGCCACAUGAGAUCUCUCACCAUUUACUUAUUUUCUGUUACCAGGCGAAGCAGCUGUAGAUCUUCGAGACAGAGACGACUCUUUGGCCUUAUGGUGACUUUUGAAUGACUAUUGUACCCGUGAAAUAUUCAUAGUCAUUGGUUUCGAUUAUAAAUUAAAUAGUCAUUGCAGAUUUAUAAGGCCUUAAUGAAAUGUAAUGAAAUGUGGAAGUAUAUUUAGAUAGAUACUAAGACAUACAGUUAGGCUAGAACUUAAAAUUUGGAAGAAUCUAAUGAAUACAUAUACUUUAAUUUUAUUAAUCUUAGUAGUGACGAAAAAAUAUAAACUUUGUAAUAUACUAGUAUAUAUUGUUUCAAAUUGGACGUUGUUUAUGAUUUUUUCACGCAGAUUAAUUUUUAUCUUUUUUUAUAAUUUUAAUAAUUUAUUUAAUUUAAUUAAGGAUAAAAUAGAUAAAUUAAUGUAAAAUUUGCAAUGACACUAAUUUGUUAAAAAAGGUUUUAUUAUACAACAAAAUUUAAUUAAAGAAAAAAUAUAUAACUAAAGAUGUCAUUAGAUUUCUUCAAACAUCUUAAGUUAUAGUUACAUUGAGAUUUGCACCUUAUGUUCAAGUAAGAAAUACACCAGAAUAUAGGUGUGAUUGGUAAUUUCAAGAUUUAAAAGAGGAUUGUAAAAAGAGAAAAUGAGAGAAAAAAUGUGAAAAAGGAAAAAAUAUUGUUACCCUCCUCACAUCUAGAAUAAUAAUGAAAGUGUAUUUUUCUCAAAUUAAACAGUAACUAAGAGAAAAUAUAAUUCCAAUUUAUUGAGAAUUUUAUGGAGUAAACUAGAUUUUAAAGGGCAGAAUUUUUUCAAUUUAAAAUCUAAUUUGAAUUUUUAAAUAAAUAAUAUAUUGUUGUAAGUAUUAUAAGUUUCAUUUUUAUUUUUUAUACCAACAAAUCAACUAUUGUUUGGCUUUUUAAUUGUACAAUAAAUUAUUUUAAUUAUAUUUGAGCUUGUGAAUUAAUUUUAAAUUAUUAAAACCAUAUUUUGAUUAGUUAAUUAAAUGGGCUGACCUGUGUUUCUUACCAUUUAUAUAUAUCUUUAUAUAUAAAGAAGAGUUUAAUCUCUCCUGAUGAUGCCAGCUAGGAUGCCAGCUUGGAAAUAGGAUCCCUGUAGUGAAGACACAUAGGAUCCGCACCGUUUCACUAAACUUCGCUGUUGGGCUUCGUUACGCGCUGCGGCCCAUCGAGACAGUCUUCUGCGGAAGCCCUAUCAACUGCUCCCCUCCGUGUUCUUCGUUCGUCGUCGAUCUACGAAGAGACUGUCGAGAUUCUGUAACGGCGAUUGUGGUUUAAUCGUCAACCACGUGAUUCUCACCUAUAAAAAGCCUUCAUUCGUUUAGUUUGUUCUUAUCAAGCCAACUGCUCAGUCCCGACUCCUCCCUCCUCAGCCUCAAUGUAGUUGGCCGGAGAUGUUGGAGGAAAAGACGGUUUGAAGAAUCUUCACGGUGUGUAAGUUUCCGUCGGAGUGGAGAAACACUGGAAGGGACAUGAGUCGAUUAGCCAUGUCUUGAUUGCGUCUAACCCAUACCGUAUGACGAGUGCAUCAAGGACUGUGAUAAGGCUGUUGAAAAGGAUAGAAAGCUUAGGCCUGGAAAGGAACAACUCGAAAAAGUAUCCACAGGUAGCCGCCAAGAACGGCUGGUUUUGUUGGCUCUGCUACUGCUCCGCACACCAUCUCCUCUGAUGCGCAUGUGCUCUCCUCAGAGCUGCGACCAAAGCGUUGGCGAGCGAGGGUUGAGUCUGAAACUGACUGUUUGGAUUGGUGGGAAUCCUGUUGAAGGAAACGUUGAAACAGAGCUCGAGAGCUUGGAAAUAGAGAGAAGGGUGUGCUAUUUGGCGACCAAAGGAAGUGAGAGGAUGAGAUUUGAGACAUGCCCUUCGAAAAAAAUUUGAUCUUGUGGAAGUUAAAAUCGUCGAAGUGACGUGAAGAGGAGUGACCUGAGAAUGGCCUCUCCUUUUUGCUGGUUGGAUAUUGCUUCUAAACUGAAGAAGCCUUGGUGUUAGCGUCUGGUGCACGGUAUAAACCAAUGUACGCAUCACUUUAACCCGUUAAAUCCCUUUCAAGUUUUAUCUUUGUACCCACAAACAAAACAAGGUUGAGACGUUGAAGUUUCUUUAAGCUUAAAGGAAGAAAUAGUGGUGGAGGAAGCAAACUUAAGUUAUGAAGAUAUGGUUUAGUAUGAGGAAAGUAUCGAAUAGAUGAGGGAGGGCAAGUUAUGGCUUUAUAUUGUUUGUUUCAUACUUUCGAUGUUAUUUUUUCUUUAAAUUUCUUAGUAAUUAAAUAUCAUAAAGAGCUCAGAUAUUACUGAAUACUUUUGUAAUACUAAACACUUGGCCAGUCGUUCAAAUUGUUUUACUUGGAGGAUGCAUUAAAUAACUUCACUUGAAGCAGAUAUUAGUUCUUCUGAAUUUCACUUGAAAAUUUUAUAAGAAAACCAAUUACGAGAAUACAAUAACAUUGUUGCCUUUUCACGUUUUAUCAACUCAACCAUGAUUAAAGAAAAACUUAAACUUUUCCUAUUCUAAUAAUUGAGUUUAAGUUAAGAAAAACUAAGAUACUGAGAAAAAGAAAAAAAACAAUUUACACACUAUCAAAACAAAUGAAAAAAUAAAAUAUACAACAUUAAACAUAAAAUGGAAAAUAAUUUCAUGAUAUAAACAAGAGACUAAAUUUAUUGUAUCUAAAUAGAUGUAUUUAAAAAAUUUCAUGAAAAAAUAUCUUCCUAGCUAAUCUCGAAUGGCACAUAGAAACAAUUAUGAAUUCUUUCCCUGAUAAUCUGAAAUUCUGUGUUUAAUGUUAAGAUCAAGCAAGAAAUAGUCUAGAAAUCCUUAUAUUUGUUCAUAAUAAACAAUAUAGCUUAUUUUAUCUGAACCAAGUAUCACCUAACAAUAAACUUUAAAAAUAAAACCGAUGAAUAUCAGGAACAUGUCCUAACCCUUGAACACUAUGUCCAAUCCAAUUGGAUAUCUAAUGUUUUGAUUGCCAGUUUUUCAUCAAAGGUGAGAUUCUCUUUUUGGAAAAUUAUUCAAAGGCCUUACAACUGGCGAGAAUCUCAAAAAGAAUCGUAUACAUUAGUUGUUAGAUACAAAUUAUUCAACAAUGACAUAACAAUAUUGUCGUCGCAAAAAGUCAAAACAAAAAUUACUUACAAACAAAAGAUACAUGAACCAUUUUCUUGAGUUUUUUCUUCUUUUUUUGUGUCUUUCAUUCACAUCUCUUGCAAAUAUGAACCUAAAAUACCAACCACAAAAUUAUAUAAGAAAACAAUAAUCUAGAUCACAAAUAAAUCAUAUCCCGCCCGUAGGGCGGGCCGACUCUAGUUUCAUAUAUAAAUAUGUGAUUGUUACCAUCUAGCUAAAAUUGUUAUCAUUUAGUUUAUUGAUUGUUACUAUUAAUACCUAUAACAAGAUACUAUUAUUUAUUUAUUGAAAGGUUUUAUAACAAUAUAAUGUAUGUUUUUAAACAAAUGUUUUAUAAUGAUGUAUUGUUACCAUAUAAACAUUAAUAUCUUAUUAAAAAUUGUAAAACAUUAAAGUUGGCCCAAAGUGAUUAAAUAUGAAAAAUGGUUGUUAAAAAUUCCAGAUGGAUCUUCUUGUAGUAAAUAAAGAGGACCGUGUGAGAUCCAGUUUUGUUAUAGUUAUGCUUUUCUAAAUUUUUCAGAGUAUUACGAUAUUACCGAACCAGUAAUUUAUGUACCGUGUAAUUAUCAAUGAUGUAUACUUUGAAGUCCUAAAUGCUACAGUAGAAAUAUAUAGUAAUUCAGUUGAAAUAAUUUUUUUUGUCAACGAAAUAAUUAAAUUUAUUAACCAUAAAUAUAAAAAUGACAUAGAAUUGUAAAUAAGUUUAAAAUGCAUGAGCAUAAUUCUAUUACAAGUUUUACUUUAAUAGUAUAGAUGAUAUAAAUAAUUUUUUCACUUACUUUGCUUACUCUGUUAAUGCUGUACAAUCUAAUUCUUUUUUUUUUUACUUAGAUAGUAAUUCAUAUUUUUCACUUAACAUCACCAAUCGCUUAAAACAAAUUUAUACAUGUUAAUUCCCUCAGAAUCACGACAUUUGCUUAAAUAAUUACAGCCACACAAAUCCACGAAUAACAUUCUGGUCCAGCUUUUUGGGUAUGGAUUUGAAUAAAACUAGCUCUAUCUAAGAAUCUACAAUCAAGUGCAACAUAUAGAACUAUCCAUAAAAGCAGAAACAUUUGGUUGGUUAUGUCAUCUAUAUUAAUGUUAUAACCCAUUUAAAUGGAUAAUUUCAAUUAAAAAGUAUAUAUCGUAUCUCAUAUGAACACAUGUACAAAAAAGUUGCUCGCAGGGAUCAAUGUUUAAGCUUUUAGAAAUUAGGACCACUGUUAUUUACAUAAUUACCCGAACAAGACAGAAAUGCAGGAGAUUUUGCAUGUAUGGUGAAAGAGAAAGGAGAAACACAAUAAUAGACAAAUCAUUAAAAUCAAGAUAAAUAAUUAAAUUAAAUCUUACAUACAUCUAACACUAUUAAAAAAAGGAGAAUAAGAAACCUCCUAAACUACGCCACCUCAGCAAAAAAUUCACAACCUAUCAAAUUGCCAUGUCAUCAUAAAUAACAAAAAAAAUUCAUGUCAUCACAAAUAACAAAAAAAAAAUUCUUUUACGUCAAUUUAUUAUUUUGCGAUCUAUCUUUUCGUUUUCUUCCUCAAAUCAAUUUAUCCCUUUAAUAUUCAUCUUCUCAAUCCUAGGCGGAUCUGAUUCCGAUCUAUGUUUCUCUGUUACUUGAUUCGAUUACUCUGUUACUAUGUUCUUUGUUACUGUUACUUGCUUUGUCUCAUCGAUCAUUAACGAUCGUGAGCGGGAAGAUCAAGGGGAUUCAGAUUCGUGACCUUCAAGGAUGAGAAAUCGAUGAGGGAUGCUAUUGAUGAGAUGAACGGAAAGGAGCUCAACGGACGUACCAUCACCGUCAACGAGUCUCAGUCUAGAGGAAGCGGCGGUGGAGGAGGCCGUGGUGGAGGUGAAUACGGUGGCCGUGGAGGUGGCGGUAUGACACUUUUAGCUUUUCCGAUUUAUUAACGGUUGAUUCAUAUAUAAGAUUGAACGAUGGCCAAAUUAGAUUCUCACUUUCUCUCGCUAUUAGAUUUCUGGAUUAUGAUCGUAUUGGUUUCAACCCCCAAAAUCAAUGCGUGGAAGGAUUCAUAUUUGUUAUCCUCAUGUAAUUUUAAGUUAGUUCUCUCAUUAUUGUAUCUUUUCGCAUGAACAUUGUAAUUGAAAGUGAGUAUGUAUGUCUUUUUUGUAGAUUGUGGAUCUCUGGAUCAACAUGGGUUUUGCAAGGGACAAAAUCUGGAUAAUCGAUGACAAUCUAACUUUACGAGUUCUUAAAAUCAUCAUUAGUUGAUCUUCAUCUCAAACCAUCAGAAGAGGACUUAAAGCAAUGGUCUGACAGGUAAAAGUAAAACCAUCAUCAUCCUUUUAUGUUCUUUAUCUUUAUAGAUUCUGAAUUUUAUAUGUGUGUUUCCUUUUUGAGUUAUGGGUUUCACUUGCUAUAGAUGGCCACUCAACAUUGAUUUCUUUAGAACAUCAAUGGAAAACCCUUCAGAUUCUUAUUUGCAUAUAUCAAACUUACCUUGCUGUCUUAGAUAUAAGGUUGUUUGUACUCUUUAUAAAAUAUAUAUUAUCAGCAAAAUAUUCUGUGUUUAAUGAAUAUUCUACGUGAAACUUCAGAUUUAUUAUUUACUCAAGUAACUUCAUCUGUUAGGGUUUUUUUUAACAAUAAGUCCUCAGGCAGAAGACACAAUAUAUAUAUAUAUUCACUUUGUAGUGUGAUGUAAUACAGUCUCUUGCAUCAUCAAAAUCUAAUAAAAUUUGAAGAUUUACAAUUUUUGUAUUGAUGAUCUACUCACUAACAAAAUUUGUAUUUGCUUAUUUCUUUCGGGUUUAUGAGUCACACCGGUGAAGUGUGAGAAGAGUUUGGAUGGUCGUUGUCGUCCUCCACAGAGGUUUUGGUAGAAGAGAUGAGGACAGCGGAGCGACAGAGAGGGCAAGUGGUGUGAGAACAGAGCCAAAGGUGAAUACAAUCAAAAUGAAAUAUGUGUUUGCAUGAAGGCAUUUCCACCAACUCUUCCUUUAACUCAAAUUCUCACAAACAUACGCAACAUCUGCACCAAUUUUUCAUUAAAUUAGUCAAACUUUAGAUUUACCAAAACAAGCAACAACCAAAGAUAAUAUUAAACACAAAGACAUGAAACUAUAUAAUAUAUUUAAAUUAGGAUUGAUUUUAUAUAUAUCUUGAUUUUUGUCUAAAAUCUUGAUUUUGGUCUUAUCUAGAAAGUUGUUCAAAAAUUAAGGUCUUAUAUUUAAAAGGCAUCUCAAUUCGUAUAUUUCAACUUCCAAUAGGAUCAUUCUCAGACAUCUCAAUUCGUAUAUCAACUAUGUUAACAUAAUUAUUUAAAAGAAUCUUGGUAAUUAAAGUUCAGCCUCAUGAGAAUUCAUAAAUGGUAAGAUUAAAUAUGCCACGUAGAAGAUUUGAUAGAUUCAUACGAAUACGAAGACGCUGGAACCCUAUGUUCAUAGGUGAGGUGAAGGAAGUAAAGUAACUUCAGAGAAUCUCCGCUUUGUAAGAAACAAAGGGGUAAACUAUAUUGUUUUCAAGUUACCAUUAAACAAGUUUUGUAUUUGAUAGACAUAUAAUUGUUUUUCGAUCCAUAAGAUCUGAGUAUUAUAAAAAUGUUAUAGAAAAUUAAUCUGGGCGUAGCCCGGAAAAGGUCCUAGUAUGUAUAAAUGUCUGUGUAAGAGAGAAAAGAGAGAUAUUUAUUAAUGUUGUUUGACCAAAAAAAAAGAAAUAUUUACUAAUAUCGACGUUUGAUGGCAAGGGUAGAUUGGGAAUAUAAGGUAUAGAAUCCAACACGAAAUCUAAAAUUAGAUUUUGCAUGCAGAGAAAUUCAUAAUACACAGAGAAGAUUAGAGAGCGGAGACAGCGACCAAGCAUGUCUUCUCAUUUUUUAUAGUUUUAUAUUAAGAUUCGCAUGCUUACAAAGAAAUAAAUAGCCCAUUGGGCCUUUUCCAAUAUGUAUUUAAUUACUUAUUAGUUAUUACAGACAAUACUAUUGAAGUAUUGAGUUUGAUCUGAUGUUUCCGGAAGGGACUGAUAUAUUGAUGUAUCUUCUUUUCUCUUGUUUUUUGUAUUAUGUAUGCCAUGUCUGAUCUAGCUUUAGGCCACUAACGACACUUUUUACUUAAUUCAACUACAGUAAAUUUACAGCUUUUGGUACAGCUCUAGUCUCAAAACCUGCGAGCUUGGUAGACUUUUAACUUUAAGGGCACUAAAACUAUUUUAUAAUAUUAUAUAUAUUAAAUUUUUUAUUUAUCAUUUAUUUAAUUGUAUGUUUUAGUAAUAAAAUAAGUGAAUAGUAUUUUAGUGGGAUUAAUAGUGUUUUAGUGUAGUGAAUAGUGUCACACCAAAUUUGGUGUCAAAUUUUAGUGUUGCACUAAAAUGGUGUGAUUUUUGCAGUUCUAUUAGAGAGGAUUUGGUGUAAAAAUAACACUAAAAUAGUAUUUUGCAGUUCCAUUGGAGAUGGCCUAAGUGCUAAUACUGGUGAAACAACUACAAAGAAUUACAAAAAUUGAGGUUAUAUAAUUGUAGGUUGUUAUUAUUAUACGAGUAUUUAGAAGUUGUAAAAUUGUUUUUGUAGGUCUGAAAUGUCAUAGUCCAAUAUGUCACGUCACAUCUGAAUCCUUAUGUCAUUCUCUCUUUAUUCUGCAUAGCCAAUUAACCAUGGAUUGGAUCCAUCCUUUGGCGUCACCUUGACUUGUUUGUAUUCAAAAACUAUUCAGUAAGUUAUUAGAUUCACUCACAUUUACUAUGAAUGAAGACAAAAUUGGAGUAUUUUCUUUAUACAGCCCACCUACGUCGUAUAUAGUAUACAUACAAAAAGGUCAUAGCUAUAUUCCACUCCGUUGAAAAGAGAAACUCUUUUUACUUUGUUUUUCGAAAAGAAACUCUGUAAUCAAAAUUCUAAUUUUGUUUUAAAACGUUAUUGGUCAGAUAUUAUUUCGCAAAAAUUGACAAAAAGACACUCAGGGUAUCUAAAGCUAACCAUGCUCUCUAAGGGUAACAAAAUUGUGAUUUAUAACGUCGCCACGUCGAAUUAGAAUCUUCUAGGUGUUAUGAUAUUCUAACUCCAAAUUUUUGGAACAAGCUUUGAUUACCGCAAAUCAAAGAAUAGUAUGAGGAUUUUGAAUUUUCAUAUGUUUUCUAAUGUUCAUAUCUCUCGCUUAUCCUGAUUAUAACGACAAAAUUAAUCCGAACGAAUAUUCAUAUAUCAGAGAAAAUUCGAAAACUCUAAUAAACUGGGAAGGCGCCUCAUCCCUUUUGAAUUGUCUUCAAAAUAUUCUUGUAUUCUUAUAUUUUAUUUACACUGUUUAUUGGCUUUGGCUUUUCAUGAAAAGGCAAUAAGAAUGAGACCAAAGAGAGGGCUUUGUGCCUGGUUUUACCCUUUUUGUUUAUUUAAAUUAUAAUAAAUCAAAAUAAAAAUAGCAAAUAGUUAGAAUAUGGAAUGUACUGAAUAUGACAGCCAUUCAUUUUUUUCAUUCUGCGUUAUUAAUAUUUUAUAAAAUUGUCAAUCAAUGUUUUAAUUUAUUGUGGACAGGUUGGAUCAUUUGUUAAAGUUCGUAUAUAUAGAAAGUUCUGCAAUCCAUAUUUAUAGUUCGUAUAUAUAGAAAGUUCUGUUGCGUGUGGAGUUAAAUAAAGUAACUGCAAAGAUGAAUUUCAUUGAGAAUUGUAAUUUUAGAAACUAAAAUUACAGUAAGACACAAUGAAUAAUAGUUUUCAUAUCCAUUUUAUUGGUGGCAUCUUUUCCGAACUGAACACAAGUUUGAUAUUAUAUCUAAUUGUUGUUGAUAUAACUCAAAAACCAAUACUUAACGAUAGUUUGUAUUUUUUUUAAUGAAAUUUUGUUUUGAGGAAACGUCAAAAAAUGUUAUUGAGAAAUAGUAUCGCUGUUUAUAUGCUUGCUUAGCUCAUUGUGGAACUUGGUUAUGAAAGAUUUAGCACCUUUUAAUUUAUUGGGUCGUCACUCCAUCCAAAAUACCUUUGUAUCUCUCCUUUAACGGGCCAUUUCUAAUUUUAUAUCGAGAGGUAUGUUUAAAAGGCCUUUGAAAACCAGAGUUAAUAUAUUCACUAUCCAUUGUGCCUUAAUUUUUUUUAUCUACUGAUAAAUUUAUUAAAGAAAGAGGAUAAGGUUAGUGUGGGCAUGAGUCCAACAGUAGUAAUCUGUUAUAAAAUGAGGUUUUUGCCAAAGAGUCUGCAUGCCCAUUAGAAGAUUUAGAGAUGAAAGAUGCGUGAAAAGUAAAGAAAGAGGAAACAAUAAGCGAUUCAAUGUCAGAUAUCACCCCAAAAAAUUCUACCAAUCUUUGAUCCAUGAUGCGUGACGAACAUAUCCCCGGUUGAGUUCUUCUCCUGCUUGUUUCGUGAAGAUCUAAGCCAAACCCGCCACUUUGGAGUCUUUGUUCCAAGCUGCGUCUGUGUAACAGAAGAUAGUAGCCGGCGAUGCAAUCUGGAUCGAGAUUUGCGGGGGAGGGAUGCUUAUUGGUUGAGCGCUCGGGGUUGGGCAUGUUCCCAUUCCUUCAGUAGUGCAAUCGAUUUGGAGAGGAUUUCCAUCGAUGUAUAUUGCUUAUUCUCGAAGGUGAAAAGGUUUUUGUUGAUCCACAAGCUCCAACAAAUCCAAGCAAAGAUAUUAUCCAAGGUUCCAAUUGGAGGCAUGUUUACCUUUGUAAGCGAGGAUUGUAAGGUGGUUUUGAAGGAGGAGCAAGCCAGAGGGUUCAGCGGAGCAGUCCAAGGGCAUAGAUCCCAAACUGCUUUGGCUGGUUCGCAGUGGAAGAGUAUGUGUUCCAAAGUUUCCUCGGCUCCACACCAUGCGCAUAGGAUGAAAGAGUCCCAUGCGCCUGUGGUGCUUGGUCGGAUGGAGAAGAUAAACUCUGUUAGCUGUGGGGAGAGCUUUGUAACAAAGCUUUGUUCCAUUCCUUUGUUUCUCUAGAUAUGAGGUUUGAGACCAUCAAGUAUUGAUCUUGGGGGAGGACAGGGCCCGUAGGGAGUACAUCAGAUGACGGGUUGAUCCAAGAGUCAGACCAGACCCUUGUGAUUUCACCAUCUCCUAUGACUUUUCCUAGGUGUUAUUACCAUUGUGCCUUAAUUUAAAAGGCAUUUAGUGGAUCACUCUUGUAUUGUUAAUAUAAGAAUAAAACGAAAAUAAAAUUUAUAACAUAUGCAUAUGUAA
This is a long non-coding RNA of Brassica rapa (field mustard), 14296 nucleotides long. RefSeq lists it as uncharacterized. Lineage: Eukaryota; Viridiplantae; Streptophyta; Magnoliopsida; Brassicales; Brassicaceae. The record is from RefSeq and is a predicted model, not a curated record.